This 406-nucleotide ribosomal RNA is filed under the name uncultured bacterium. RNAcentral's name for it is "partial 16S ribosomal RNA". It matches the Rfam family "Bacterial small subunit ribosomal RNA", at positions 30 to 526 of the family's 1533-position model. The record is from RNAcentral.
AUUGAACGCUGGCGGCAUGCCUAACACAUGCAAGUCGCACGAGUGGCGGACGGGUGAGUAAUGUCUGGGAAACUGCCCGCUGGAGGGGGAUAACUACUGGAAACGGUCGCUAAUACCGCCUACCAUCGGAUGUGCCCAGAUGGGAUUAGCUCGUAGGUGGGGUAACGGCUCACCUAGGCAACGCUCCCUAGCUGGUCUGAGAGGAUGACCAGCCACACUGGAACUGAGACACGGGCCAGACUCCUACGGGAGGCAGCAGUGGGGAAUAUUGGACAAUGGGGGAAAGCCUGAUGCAGCCAUGCCGCGUGUAUGAGGAAGGCCUUCGGGUUGUAAAGUACUUUCAGCGAGGAGGCGUUACUCGCAGAAGAAGCACCGGCUAACUACGUGCCAGCAGCCGCGGUAAUAC